This 428-nucleotide ribosomal RNA is filed under the name uncultured bacterium. Its description in RNAcentral is "bacterial SSU rRNA". It matches the Rfam family "Bacterial small subunit ribosomal RNA", at positions 355 to 776 of the family's 1533-position model. The record is from RNAcentral.
UGGGGAAUUUUGCGCAAUGGACGAAAGUCUGACGCAGCGACGCCGCGUGGGUGAUGAAGGCCUUCGGGUUGUAAAGCCCUGUGGGGCGGGAAGAAUAAGUGGUGACUAAUACUCGCCAUGAUGACGGUACCGCCUUAGCAAGCACCGGCUAACUCUGUGCCAGCAGCCGCGGUAAGACAGAGGGUGCAAACGUUGUUCGGAAUUACUGGGCGUAAAGCGCGUGUAGGCGGCUUAGCAAGUCGGCUGUGAAAGCCCUUGGCUCAACCAAGGAAGUGCACUCGAAACUGCUAAGCUUGAGUCUCGGAGAGGAUGGUGGAAUUCUCGGUGUAGAGGUGAAAUUCGUAGAUAUCGAGAGGAACACCAGUGGCGAAGGCGGCCAUCUGGACGAUGACUGACGCUGAGACGCGAAAGCAUGGGGAGCAAACAGG